This 253-nucleotide ribosomal RNA is filed under the name uncultured bacterium. RNAcentral's name for it is "partial 16S ribosomal RNA". It matches the Rfam family "Bacterial small subunit ribosomal RNA", at positions 524 to 776 of the family's 1533-position model. The record is from RNAcentral.
UACAGAGGGUGCAAGCGUUAAUCGGAAUUACUGGGCGUAAAGCGUGCGUAGACGGUUGCGUAAGUCAGAUGUGAAAGCCCCCGGCUCAACUGGGGAGGGUCAUUCGAUACUGUCCGACUCGAAGGCAGGAGAGGGAAGCGGAAUUCCCGGUGUAGUGGUGAAAUGCGUAGAUAUCGGGAGGAACACCAGUGGCGAAGGCGACUUCCUGGCCUGUUCUUGACGCUGAGGCGCGAAAGCUAGGGGAGCAAACGGG